This 253-nucleotide ribosomal RNA is filed under the name uncultured bacterium. RNAcentral describes it as "partial 16S ribosomal RNA". It matches the Rfam family "Bacterial small subunit ribosomal RNA", at positions 524 to 776 of the family's 1533-position model. The record is from RNAcentral.
UACGUAGGGGGCAAGCGUUGUCCGGAAUCAUUGGGCGUAAAGAGCGUGUAGGCGGCUCGGUAAGUCCGCUGUGAAAGUCCAGGGCUCAACCCUGGAAUGCCGGUGGAAACUGUCGAGCUAGAGUCCGGAAGAGGCGAGUGGAAUUCCUGGUGUAGCGGUGAAAUGCGUAGAUAUCCGGAGGAACACCGGUGGCGAAGGCGGCUUCCUGGACCGACACUGACGCUGAGGCGCGAAAGCUAGGGGAGCAAACGGG